GGUUCUAGGAAAACCUCAAACUGUCAGGUUUUCACAGCAAUUUACCUUUACCCACUGAGCCAACUCGCCAGACCUCAGAGAAGCUUUCUAAUGUCAACAAAUUUGGCAACAGUCAAGCUGUUCUUUUCCUGCUCUUGGCCUCUGUCUAUUCUAUGCUAUGAGGACAUCCAGUUCACUCAAGAGGACCCAGGCUGUGGCCCCCUUGCCUAGGCUGAUGCAUCAGCAAGUGAUUGUGUGUGUAGAGGGGACACCACACUCCUCACCUGUCCUGGGGAGAAGCUGGCAGCACUGUCUCCCUGAGAUGAAGUCCUUCCACCGAAAUACUCCCCAGCUGGCUCCCUCUUCCAUCAGGGCUACAGGUGGGCAUCUCCAAUUAGAAGAAACUUCAAGAAAUCUUUCCACAGUACUUAACAUCUAAUUAUCUUCUAAGGAAAAAAAGUCCUCUUGUUCAAAUCCCAUUGAUCAGAAUUUUGUUUGUUGUGCCAAAACUC
Nannospalax galili (Upper Galilee mountains blind mole rat) is the source of this 491-nucleotide long non-coding RNA. RefSeq lists it as uncharacterized. The record is from RefSeq and is a predicted model, not a curated record. NCBI's taxonomy places the organism in Eukaryota, Metazoa, Chordata, Mammalia, Rodentia, Spalacidae. The transcript is spliced from 3 exons.